This 382-nucleotide ribosomal RNA is filed under the name uncultured bacterium. RNAcentral's name for it is "bacterial SSU rRNA". It matches the Rfam family "Bacterial small subunit ribosomal RNA", at positions 425 to 793 of the family's 1533-position model. The record is from RNAcentral.
GUAAAGUACUUUCAGCAGUGAGGAAGGCAGGUACGUUAAUAGCGUGCUUGUUUGACGUUAGCUGCAGAAGAAGCACCGGCUAACUCCGUGCCAGCAGCCGCGGUAAUACGGAGGGUGCGAGCGUUAAUCGGAAUUACUGGGCGUAAAGCGCAUGCAGGUGGUUUGUUAAGUCAGAUGUGAAAGACCCGGGGCGUCAACCUCGGAAUUGCAUUUGAAACUAGGCAGACUAGAGUACUGUAGAGGGGGGUAGGAAUUUCUAGGUGUAGCGGUGAAAUGCGUAGAGAUCUGAAGGAAUACCGGUGGCGAAGGCGGCCCCCUCGGACAGAUACUGACACUCAGAUGCGAAAGCGUGGGGAGCAAACAGGAUUAGAUACCCUGGUAG